GCUGGGUGUGGUGGGGGGCACCUGUAAUCCCAGCUACUCAGGAGGCUGAGGCAGGAGAAUUGCUUGAACCCAGGAGGCGGAGGCUGCAGUGAGCUGAGAUUACAACACUGCACUCCAGCCUGGGUGACACGGCAAGACUCUGUCUCAA
RNAcentral lists this non-coding RNA (148 nucleotides) under Nomascus leucogenys (northern white-cheeked gibbon). The record is from Rfam by way of RNAcentral. Lineage: Eukaryota; Metazoa; Chordata; Mammalia; Primates; Hylobatidae.